GCAGGCGGAGGUCACCUCAAUAUGGCUGACAUGUUCUGUGUUUUCCCACAGCAUGUCACAUGUAGCCAGUGCGGCGACUUUGACAAAGUACUGCAGGGUGACCUGGUAGUCUCGGGUCAGAGUGAGAGAAAUUGGUGUUGUACUAAGAUGUAUGUUAAUACAUAUAUUAUUUAUAUGGGCAUUAGCGAAUGCUAUUGUUGCCUUAGCACAAACCCAGGCCCAGAGAUUGGCCUUGGGGUUUUUGCAAGCUUACUUUAUCAUGUUUCUCCUCACCCCCUCCUCGCUCAUGAAUAAUUAAAAACUUAAAUUACUUGCCAUGUACAAAAUUCAUAUGCUGGGGAAAAUAGCUACAUGAAAAUUAAUUUUCUGUUCUGUGAGACUGACGGGAAAUCAAUUAAUCUUGAUGUAUUAUUUUAUGCAGAACAGGGUGCAAGAACCUGCGGAGAGAAUGGCUACAGCUGUUCUUGUUGGUCAGGCCAUAUAUUAUCGUUGGCGGGUUUGACAGCUUCUGAAGGAAAUGGCUGAGGGGUAUCAGGCAGGUGAAUCAACUGUAAAAAUUUAUUGGAGGAUACAAACUGUUUCCAGGGAACUGAUAUAAAACUCACACUUGAGAACUGAAGUAUUGAAUGUUUUUGUGACUGAAGCAGCUUGUUGUCAAUAUUUAUAGCUUUUCUCUUUGUUACAUGUCCUAUUUGUUUGAUUAACUAGUCAGAUGUUAGUGUCUGUCGGUAAUUUAUCUGUUGUGCCUUCUGUAGCAUUUUUGAUACAUAAAGAUUUACCACUAGAUAAAUAAGGCAGCACACACAAUGCAAUAUGCGAAAUAAAAUGACAGAGCUGUUUACAGCAUGUUGCAAGUUUUAUAACUCAUGAGGUAGAUCGGUAACUUUUGUUUACUGGUGUCACUGUUUGUUGAAACAUGUCUCAAUGUAUUAAAUACCAUGGGGGUAAAUAAAGCUCUUUUAAAUAAGCAGAGAUUGUAAUCAACACAUACCUCAUGGUAAAUCAUUUAAGAGGCUCUAUAAAAACGUUUAUGUACAGCCAUACAUAAUGCAUACAUUUCUGAAAUAAAAUAAAAUAAAUGCGUGCUUUUAGAAUAGGCUGUAGUUACAUUCCUCUCCCAUGCCAUCGACAUCAAUUUCCCCUGUAGAUGAUGGAGGUGCGAUGUUCAGACAAAUGCUGACGCAGACCGACGGGAGCUGGAGGCUGAGGGGCAGCGGCCUGGCAGGUGAUGUCUCUCCAGUCUUGGGGAAUGGCUCCUGGGAACACGGGUGUCUGCUUGCGGCAUCACUGGUCAUCACAGGCUGGUGGGGCUGGGUGGUUGUGGCUGUCAGUCUCAGGCAGUUGAGGCUGACUUUUUGUGCAGCCCUGUGUGAUGUCUGGAUUUAGGGAGACGCCAGGAAAGUGGAUGUAGAUAAUGCUUUACCCAGGGCCCCUCUGUGACCACCUGUCUCUUCCCCAUCUCCAGGCAACAGCAGCCACUAAGAAGUGCUAGAGUCAUUGGCUUCCUAAGAAAUUGGCAUGAGCACUCAGGCCCCCUUAUCCCUACACAGAGAGGCGGAAACUGUACCAUGUGCCUGGCUGUGUAUUCUUCAAAUAUCAGGCUCAUGGCAUUUCAGCUAAGAAUCCCAACAUCUGUUGAUCAGCAACAGACUUGGCAAAUAGUGGUGCUUAGUAAGUAGCCCUUGAGACAGAGGACCUGAUUUGUGAUUCAAUUUCUAAUAAUUCAUAAAUGACUCAUGAAUAGCACUCAAUUUGAGGGCCAUUAUGACACUUUGAGAGGCAUAGUAAGAGUAUAUUGCAUUGAUAUAGUAUGGUGUACUCUUUUAGAAGCCUGUCAUUCAUAUAUAUAUAUAUAUGGAAUUUAUGUUAAUCAGGAUAAGCAUAUAUUAAGGUAUGUUUAUUAAGUCACAAGAAGAUCUCUUACUUGGCCAGUUUGUGGGGUGGGGAUGGUUUGGGAUUGCUCUGUAAUAGACUACCACUAGCUUAGCAGCAUGAAACAACACUGUUUACUAGCUGUAGGUUGAGAAACCCAGCAAGCCUGCCUGGUAAAGAGUAUCAGAUAGGAAACAGAUAGCAAACAGCACAAGGCUGGAAUCAGGGUGUCAGCCCCUGUGUAUUUCUUUCUGGAGGCUCUGGCAAGAACCCACUUCCAGGCUCUGUCAUGUCGUUAGCAGAAUGCACUUCCUUUUGGCUGUAGGACUGAGGUCCCUGUUUUCUUGCUGGCUGUUGGCCAGGGCACAUUCUCAGACCACAUGCCCGCCUCCAUCUCAAGUGAGCAACUCUCUCUCAUGUUGACUCCUCCUUACCUUUCUGAUCUCUCUGACAUACGCUUCUGCCACCAGCCAGAGAAUACCACUGCUUUAAAAAAAAAAAAGGCUCACAUGAUUAGGUUACACUCACCCAGAUAAGCUCCAUGUCUUGAGGCUACUACCUGAUUGGUAACCUUCAUCUGUGGAAUCCCUUUUGGCAUGAAACCUCCAUAAACAUGGAAGUAGGAUAAGGGAGCAAGGGUUAUGGGGUCAUCUUAGAAUUUUGUCUACCACAAGGGUAUUUGGUGUGACGUUUAUGCUGUGGAUUUUUCAGAGCAACCGCGUUCUUAAUCCUUAUCUUCGUUUUGGUGUCCUACAACCUGGCCUGGAAAGAAGAGGGCCAACUCUGGGUGGGUUCCAUCAACAAGUACAUGUAGAGCACCUGCCGCACAGCCAACCUUCCUGUUAUGGACUAUUUGUUUAUGUCCCCCAAAUUUCUGUGUUGAACUCCUAAGCCCCAGUGUGAUGGUUUUAGGAGGUGGGGCCUUUGGGGGGUGAUUAGGUCAUAAGGGUGGAGCUCUCAUGAACGAUGGGAUUAGUACCCUUAUAAAAGGAAUCCGUGAGAGCGCUGUGAGGACAGAAUGCAAAGACAGUUAUCAGCAACCUAGAAGAGGGCUCACGCCAGGAUCAGGCCAUGCCGGCACCCUGACUAAGAACUUCCAUCCUGCAGAACCACGAAAAAUACGUUUCUGUUGUUUGUGAGCCACCAGUGUAUGGUGCUUUGUUAUAACAGCCUGUACUGACUAAGAUACGUGCAUUAUAGGCAGGAAGUAAAAAUCUCUGUAAGAUGCACGUUCCUUGCUCUCUCCACGUCAAAGUUUUUCAUACACAUAUCAUGAGAUUGUCAGCCAAUCAAGGCAUCUGAGGACAGGGGCUAAAUUAAGUGGGAAUUGAGUGGGAAAGUAAAUCCUUGGGAGUUGAAGCAGGCAAAGGAAGGCUUCAGGAGACGAAAUGGUCAGUGGGCCUUGAACAAGGCAGACAGUUCAACAAGAUGGAGAGAGAGGGGCAAGGCCACCCAGGUGGCAAAGAGCCUACUGUGUGGGGAAAUAAUGGGAAGUCAGAUUGAGCUGCAGUGGUGGGUCCUCCCCCAACACUUGAAUAGGUGUGCUGUGGGGGUGGAUGGGAGGCACACUAUGAAAAAUACAUGUGUGUUCAUGAUAAGCCACAUGGGGACAGCCACAUGUUGAAAUCACAUGAAGUUCCUUUUUCUUACAGAAGCCUCUGGAAGGACUCAUGUCCUCCAUCCCUGCCUACAGCAAGCCUUUGCCAAGGGCCCUCUGCUCUUGGGGUACAGGUGAAUCAUUCUGAACAGUGUGAGAAGUUCUAUACACAAAGUUCGAAGCCCAGCCUUCACAUUGAGAUUAUCUGAGAAACUUGCAAAAAGGAUACCAAUGGUCAGGGAGUACCUCAGACCAACUCGAUCAGAUUUCUGGUGGUUGGCAUGGGGAUUGGGAUUGUAUGGAAAUGUUCUCCAGGUGACUUUAAUAGCAGCUGGCCAAGUCUGCAUUUGUGGAAAUCUGCAGUAUUUGAAGUUUGGAGGAGAUCAAUUUUUCAUCCUUUCCUUCGUGGGAUAAAGAAUAUUUCAACCACCUCUGGAGACCAAAGAGUUCUGAGAAGUUUUGAAAUAGCUUGGGAAAUACACCACGUGCUUCACACUUCAUUUUUCUCCUCUCUCUUUCAUUGUUUGACUUAAUUAAAAUAUUGUAAUGCAAGAAGGAGAGAUGAGGCAAACGUUUAGAGAAGGAAAAGGAAAUGGGUUCAUGUUUAAACUGACUCUGAGCAAGCAUGGCGAUGGUAGUUUGAAAGAAUUCUGAGCAUGUAGGAAGGUAAACUCAAAAUGUUCUUCCUGCCUGAGAAGUGAUUAAAAUACCUGUGAGCACCAA
RNAcentral lists this long non-coding RNA (4192 nucleotides) under Homo sapiens (human). Its description in RNAcentral is "HSALNT0358565". The record is from RNAcentral. Lineage: Eukaryota; Metazoa; Chordata; Mammalia; Primates; Hominidae.